Thamnophis sirtalis is the source of this 1136-nucleotide non-coding RNA. The record is from RefSeq and is a predicted model, not a curated record. Lineage: Eukaryota; Metazoa; Chordata; Lepidosauria; Squamata; Natricidae.
GAGGACUAUCUUCUGUAUUGAUCUGCUGUGCGUGAUUCCCUCUCGGACUGACAAUUCUGUGGAAUUUUUUUUCCCAGGAGACCGCGGAAGGGGAGAGAGAGCGAAAGGAGACCGGAAGAGGGGUGGGGUGGGGGUCUCCUUUCCCGGUGUUGCGCCAUGACGGCGAACGAGGACCAAGAGAUGGAGUUGGAAGCAUUACGUUCUAUUUAUGAAGGGGAUGAAUGUUUUAGGGAACUUAGUCCCAUUUCAUUUCAAUAUAGGAUUGGUGAAAGUGGAGACCCCAAAGCCUUUCUUAUAGAAAUAUCAUGGCCAGAAACAUACCCACAAACUGCUCCAGUCAUAUCAAUGGAUGCAUUCUUCAACAAUGCCAUAUCCUCAGCCAUAAAACAAAGUAUAUUGAAUAAAUUAAUGGAAGAAGUUGAAGUUAACCUGGGAACCUCAAUGACAUACACAAUAUUUGAAUAUGCUAAAGAUAAUAAAGAGAUUUUCAUGGAAAAUCAACCAGUUAAUACUGUGACAGCAUUAAAUAACUGCAUCUCAACUGGACAUUCUGAUGCAGCACCACCAACUAAAAAAAAGGAGAAAAAGGAACAAUUGUCCAAAACGCAAAAGCGGAAGUUAGCUGACAAAACAGAUCACAAAGGAGAACUUCCUCGAGGAUGGAAUUGGGUUGACGUAAUCAAGGUAAGGGUGUUGAAAAUUAACAAUAUCAAAAUGGUAAUUUGGGGGAGAUUUUAGCAGUAUCUAAUUUUUUUUCUUUUUUCUUUUUUUAACCAUUUUGGAUAUGAAUGAUAAUGGGAUUUUCCUCGUGUUUUUAUAAAGCAUCUGAGCAAAACGGGCUCGAAGGAUGAUGAAUAGGAGGACUUUAAUAUAGGAAAACCUUAGCUGAAUCCACAUUGUAAUAACAUUGAUUUCCCCCCCCCCCACAAGUUUUAUAAAUAACAGUUCCACACAUGUUUAAAUGUGUUAAAAUGUACCCAUCAAGAGCAUCAUUUUUCUUUAUGAUUUUCGUCCAAUCACAUGUUUUCCUUUAGAGGAAAUAUGUCAAAGGCAGUGUUGAUGUACUUUGUCAUGACACUGACUGUAACAAUAUGUAAUUUUAAUGUAUAUUGUUAUUCACUGUACUAAAUCAUAAA